Molecule: long non-coding RNA, 3867 nt
Organism: Vespa velutina
Lineage: Eukaryota; Metazoa; Arthropoda; Insecta; Hymenoptera; Vespidae
Exons: 3
Source: RefSeq, a predicted model, not a curated record
AUUAAUAAAACUUCAUGGAUUAGGAGACUUUCUUCUCAUUCAUAUGAAAAUAUAAUUAAAUGCACCUCUACAUAUAUUUUCUCUGUAAUUUAUAUAUUACAUCCUUGAACCUCUACUUUAAAUACAUUAUAAUAUUAUAAUCUUACUACAGUAUUGAUAAAAAUAUUUUAGUAUACCAUUUUUUUAUUUUGUUAUACAAGGCAAAAAACAAUAUGAGAAAGAUAGCUCAAUAAAAGUGAGAUGUAUUAAAAAAUUAAUUUUGUUUUGUUAACACUAAUUAAAUGUAUGUGAUAAAUUUUCUGGCACAUAUCUAUACAAAUGAUUAGCACAUACAAAAUUUUUUAUAAAUUUUCAAUUUUAUUAAUACGAUUUCUUUUUUAACAACAGGUUGAUAAAUUAUGUAAUACAAAAUGAAUAUAUUCAAAACAAAAAAAUAAUUAAUUUGUUUUGUUAAUAUAAUUAUAUAUAUAUAUAUUUAUAUAUACAUAGACAAUAAUUACUACUAAUUACUAGGAAUUUUUUCUAAAUGCCUUAUGGCAUCCUUAAUUUUGCAUAGCAACUCCUGUAAUUGCUGCAAUGUACAUGUAAAUGUCACAUAUUUUAUUUCUGCAUAUUCCUUUGUGGUAAACCGUACAUGAUACUGAAAGGAUCCAAUAGAACUUUGAAAUCCAUACUGUAAAUUAAAAGAUAUAGGUAUACUCAUUGUUAUAUUUAUUAUUUAUAUCUCAAGUAUGUUUAUUAACACAUAAACGUUAAAUAAAUAGAAUUUUAAACAAUAAUAUACCUUAAUGCAAUGACUUAAACGCCAAUCGGUGUCUACUAUAUGGGGUAAAUUAUUUCCAAUUAAUUGUAACUGCAUUUGAAUUUCUUGUUUAUUAUUUGCAUAGCUAUAACAUAUUUUGUCUGCUCUGUGACUAACAAUUGGUGUGUUAUUUAAAAACUUUUCUAAACUUUCCUUAUCGAAAUCAUGUCUAGCAGCUUCAACGAAAAGACAGCUUAAGUCGACAAAGGCAUUUUUGGCAAUGUCAAAUUUUGAACUGUUGGUUUUGACGCUGCACUGACCUUUUGUUUUAAUAUAAAUUUACACAGUAUAAUGCAAGCGUAUUGUGAAGUAAAAGUAAUUUUACUUUUAAUAUAAUGUUGUACAUAUUUUACCUUUCGGGUCUACAGUUUUACCUAUAUUAAAAAUUACAGCUUCUAAAACCUGCACGAAAAUCUCUUCAGAUAAAAUAUUUAAGUCUUUAAUAUUUGUAAGAUUAUUCAUUAUUUUCUCUGAUAGUUCCAUCUUAAAUUUAAAUUUAAUAAGAUUAUAGUUUUUAAGAGGAAUAAUUAUACUGUUUUAUUUGUUAGAUUACAAUGUAUGUCUUAAAACGCAAUAGAAUUUCACACACAAUCAAUUUUAUACACGCGUAUGUUUAAUAGUUUUAUUAUUUAUUAAUUAUAAUGAAGCUACGAACGCCAUUUCAAUGGCAUUAUUAAAAUAAUUUAAUAUGUUUUUUAAUAAUUUAAUACGAUGAAAUUGUUUUUAGAAAUGGAGACCAGAGGCACGACUUGUUUGACACGGCACUGUUUGACAGAGCUUCUUAAAAGUACCACUAGGAGAUGCUUCGAUUAAUUUGAAGUUGCUCGAGUAAAGAUGAUAAUAUUAGGAAAACAUUGUUUUCCUAUUGAAUACAAAUACUUGUACGUGUAUUAGUCAGAAUAAGAAUGAAAAGAUUUUAGAAAAAUUCAGAAAUAUGUAGCCAUUCGCUCAGUAGUCCUUACGUUAUAUGAUUUUCAAUUAGAUAUCAAUCUAUCACAACUAUUACCGAUCCAGGUCUCACCACGUGGAGAUUGCUGCAUCUGGAGACCCACGGGCUAACAUUGACUCUAAAAUCCACGUUCCGCGAUACCUCUUAGCUUUGGGAGCUUCAGGCUUUUUAACUAACAGAAGAUGUAUGACACGAAUUAUUAAGCACGACCGUUCGUGGUUUCCGAAUUUCGAACAAUAAAAGCGCAGUCCUCGAUAGUACUUUUAAUCGCGUCCGUGCGAUACUACGUGUGGUUAAAGUAACGCUUACUCUACUCUAAAAUCCGCGUUCACGAGGUAAUCUAAUCGGAUUUUCGAGCAAAUGAAACAAAGUCCACGGUAGGGCCAUUAAUCUCGCCCGAACAUCCACGCGAAUAUUAGAAAAACGAUGACUCCAAUUUAAAAUCCGCGGGUUCCCAGGGAAUCAGGCGAGCAAUCAAAUGAAGUUUAAUCUUUUAUAAAUACAAUCUGUGCGACUGUUAAAAAAGCAAUAAACUUUGCGAACAAACACAGACUCUAAAGACUGCAUUACACGCAGUCGAUGCAAGAACACUUGCAGUUUAAGUCGCGAAACGCGAACGAACGAAUAAUUCCACUUCGUGAUAUUCUUAUUUUAGCGAUACAAAUACUCGAUUACAUCAUUGCUUAAAAUUAUUACUAUCACUGUUAUAAUAAGAAACUGUACAAAUUAUUGAAGAAACGGGCGAUAUAAAAAUAUACUUACAUUAAAUAUUCGUUGAUACUUACAGCAAAGACAUCCCUCGGAUUUUACUCGUCGGACGACAAAGGAGAACUAAUCCAGGAAAUCGUCCAAGUCAAUAAAAAGAUCAUAUAUGUUGAUAUAAAAAAAAAGACAACAACCACGAGAUGAACAUUUUAAAGUAUUGAAAUUUUUAAUUAAAAUUAUUUUAAGUUUCUUGCGUGUUACGAUUUUCGUAAUAUUUGUGCGAAUGUAUUAUUUUUAAAUAUUAGUAUAUCGUAUUCCGUAUACAUUAAAGAUUGUUUAAAUAAUUGGAAUAUUAUUGAAAGUACAAUUUUAUAAUAUUUCACAUUUCUUCGAUUUUGCUUACGUAUUCAGACAACGAGCGCGCGUGUAAAUUUUUAUUCCAUUCAAAGCUCAUUAAAACGUCUGUACAAGUGAUGAACGGUAAAUGCGUAUCCUUGCGUUUAUUUGGAUAAGAAAAUUUCAUCAUAGUUUACAUACAUAAAGAAGGAAACAAUCGUCUAUUUUACAAAAACAAAACACAAUGUUUAUUCGUAAAUCAUAAAUAGCGUGGUGAGAGAUUUGUCUCUUUUGCCGCAGAGUUUAGGGGCGCCACUAUAAAUGUUGAAAAAUGUCGAAAAACCCAACUGCGAGUCCAGUCUUGAUUACAAUAUGUUCUCGUCGUACGACAUUUGGGUCUAUUCAAACGUUUAUUCAAACGUUCAGACGUAGAAAAUUUAUUUCAAUUAUUUGAUGUUCGAUUUUGGCUGUCAUUUAUUUAGGUUAGAGCGAUUGGAUUAGGCUCGAAAAUGAUAUGGUUUUAAUAUAACUCGGUCACAAAUAACAUUGGAUAUUCAUGCAGUACGAAUAGAAAUAUGAUUACUAUGUAAUCAAACAAAUAGCUUUUAGAUAGAAGAGAUGCACAAAUAUAAAGGCAUUAAGUGCAGAAAGAAGUAAAUAUCCCAAUAAUAAAUCACAUAGACUGGUGCACUCUACCUUCCCAAUCCUGAAGCUGUUCGCAUGAAAUCAUCCGCAUGAGGUUGUGACCAGAGCAGCAAUAAUAACAUGUUAUUUAUGAUGCAUUUAAUGCAGGGAUGUCAGAAAAAUAUAUCAAAUAGAAGAGAUAAAAAUAUAGCUCCUGUAAAUAUGUAUCAAUCGAAUCAAUUGCGAAGAUUAAUACACUGAAUGCUCGGAUGUAAUAGAACUUUAUGUAAAAUAGAACAAAGGAUCGAAUUCAAAGGGCCUAGACUAACAGUUGAUAAUAAUUUAGUUUACCAUGGAUCUUGGUUAAAAAAAUAAGUCAUAUAUAUAUAAUGAAAUAAUUUGUUGAUAAUAUUGAAUAUCUAUCAUUUCAUUAGAAAUAUGGCACAACAAU